Molecule: ribosomal RNA, 475 nt
Filed under: uncultured organism
Description: partial 16S ribosomal RNA
Rfam family: Bacterial small subunit ribosomal RNA
Source: RNAcentral
CACUCCUGCGGGAGGCAGCAGUGGGGAAUAUUGCACAAUGGGCGCAAGCCUGAUGCAGCCAUGCCGCGUGUAUGAAGAAGGCCUUCGGGUUGUAAAGUACUUUCAGCGGGGAGGAAGGUGUUGAGGUUAAUAACCUCAGCAAUUGACGUUACCCGCAGAAGAAGCACCGGCUAACUCCGUGCCAGCAGCCGCGGUAAUACGGAGGGUGCAAGCGUUAAUCGGAAUUACUGGGCGUAAAGCGCACGCAGGCGGUCUGUCAAGUCGGAUGUGAAAUCCCCGGGCUCAACCUGGGAACUGCAUUCGAAACUGGCAGGCUAGAGUCUUGUAGAGGGGGGUAGAAUUCCAGGUGUAGCGGUGAAAUGCGUAGAGAUCUGGAGGAAUACCGGUGGCGAAGGCGGCCCCCUGGACAAAGACUGACGCUCAGGUGCGAAAGCGUGGGGAGCAAACAGGAUUAGAAACCCGUGUAGUCCCAUGA